GGACGAACCCUUGGAGAGAGCGGAUUAAAAUCCGCCGCCGAAGGCGAAAAUACAGCAAUGUGUGAAACGCUCAGGCAAAAGGACAGGGGAGAAAAG
RNAcentral lists this non-coding RNA (96 nucleotides) under Mannheimia haemolytica. RNAcentral describes it as "Glycine sequence". It matches the Rfam family "Glycine riboswitch aptamer". Rfam says of the family: This family represents the bacterial glycine riboswitch. Lineage: Bacteria; Pseudomonadati; Pseudomonadota; Gammaproteobacteria; Pasteurellales; Pasteurellaceae. The record is from RNAcentral.